GUUCUCACGUUAAUUCUCACGAUAGUUGAUUACACUGAUACUCUUAAUGAGUUAAAAAUAUUAUAUAAAAAUAUUAUUAUUAUUUUUAUUUAGUUUCCUUUUUAAAAUUUUCCAAAAAACAUAUACAUGCGAUAAAAAGCAAUUUUUUAUAAAGUUAAAAAAAAACAAAUUGAAAAAAAAUAUAUGUAUAUAUUAGGCCUAUUUGGCCGAAAAAACACGAAACGAAAGUUUAUUUGGAGAUCAUGCAAAAUAAAAUUCAAUUUGGUGAUCGGAUAAAGAAGGUGGUGGGAAAUGACAGCAAUAUCCCCUACGAAUAUCGAAGCUAUGCCGAUGGACUGCAGUCCUAAUAUAGGCAUAUCUAAACUAGAUACACUUGUCAGGUUCUGUCAGAGAUAAUGACAUUUUGUCUCACAUAGUUCCCGCGUAAAGAAGACUUUCGAAAAGAACAAAAAUUGUAUUUG
This 461-nucleotide long non-coding RNA is filed under the name Brassica rapa (field mustard). RNAcentral describes it as "long non-coding RNA (BRAP_LNC007617)". Lineage: Eukaryota; Viridiplantae; Streptophyta; Magnoliopsida; Brassicales; Brassicaceae. The record is from RNAcentral.